This 592-nucleotide ribosomal RNA is filed under the name uncultured bacterium. Its description in RNAcentral is "bacterial SSU rRNA". It matches the Rfam family "Bacterial small subunit ribosomal RNA", at positions 393 to 984 of the family's 1533-position model. The record is from RNAcentral.
UUAUGCGCGUGUGUAAGAAGGCCUUCGGGUUGUAAAGCACUUUUGUCAGGAACGAAACGGUGGGGGCUAAUAUCCUCUGCUAAUGACGGUACCUGAAGAAUAAGCACCGGCUAACUACGUGCCAGCAGCCGCGGUAAUACGUAGGGUGCGAGCGUUAAUCGGAAUUACUGGGCGUAAAGCGUGCGCAGGCGGUUGUGCAAGACAGAUGUGAAAUCCCCGGGCUUAACCUGGGAAUUGCAUUUGUGACUGCACGGCUAGAGUGUGUCAGAGGGGGGUAGAAUUCCACGUAUAGCAGUGAAAUGCGUAGAUAUGUGGAGGAAUACCGAUGGCAAAGGCAGCCCCCUGGGAUAACACUGACGCUCAUGCACGAAAGCGUGGGGAGCAAACAGGAUUAGAUACCCUGGUAGUCCACGCCCUAAACGAUGUCAACUAGUUGUCGGGUCUUAAUUGACUUGGUAACGCAGCUAACGCGUGAAGUUGACCGCCUGGGGAGUACGGUCGCAAGAUUAAACUCAAAGGAAUUGACGGGGACCCNACAAGCGGUGGAUGAUGUGGAUUAAUUCGAUGCAAGCGAAAAACUUACUACCCUUGA